GCCCAAGUGGUGAAAUCGGUAGACGCGCUGGACUCAAAAUCCAGUAGGGAGACCUAUGCCGGUUCGAGUCCGGCCUUGGGCA
RNAcentral lists this transfer RNA (82 nucleotides) under Acholeplasma brassicae. It matches the Rfam family "tRNA". From Rfam's summary of the family: Transfer RNA (tRNA) molecules are approximately 80 nucleotides in length. Their secondary structure includes four short double-helical elements and three loops (D, anti-codon, and T loops). Further hydrogen bonds mediate the characteristic L-shaped molecular structure. tRNAs have two regions of fundamental functional importance: the anti-codon, which is responsible for specific mRNA codon recognition, and the 3' end, to which the tRNAs corresponding amino acid is attached (by aminoacyl-tRNA synthetases). tRNAs cope with the degeneracy of the genetic code in two manners: having more than one tRNA (with a specific anti-codon) for a particular amino acid; and 'wobble' base-pairing, i.e. permitting non-standard base-pairing at the 3rd anti-codon position. The record is from Rfam by way of RNAcentral. Lineage: Bacteria; Bacillati; Mycoplasmatota; Mollicutes; Acholeplasmatales; Acholeplasmataceae.